Molecule: ribosomal RNA, 459 nt
Filed under: uncultured bacterium
Lineage: Bacteria
Description: partial 16S ribosomal RNA
Rfam family: Bacterial small subunit ribosomal RNA
Source: RNAcentral
CCUACGGGAGGCAGCAGUGAGGAAUAUUGGUCAAUGGUCGGGAGACUGAACCAGCCAAGCCGCGUGAGGGAUGAAGGUACAGAGUAUCGUAAACCUCUUUUGUCAGGGAACAAAGGCGGGGACGCGUCCCCGGAUGAGUGUACCUGAAGAAAAAGCAUCGGCUAACCCCGUGCCAGCAGCGGCGGAAAUCCGGGGGGUGCGAGGGUAGCCCGGAUUAAUUGGGUUAAAGGGGUGCGCAGGCGGUCUGUUAAGUCAGCGGUAAAAGCCCGGGGCUAAACCGCGCCCCGCCGUUGAAACUGGCAGUCUCGAGUUGGAGAGAGGUAUGCGGAAUGCGCGGUGUAGCGGUGAAAUGCGUAGAUAUCGGGCAGAACUCCGAUUGCGAAGGCAGCAUGCCGGCUCCACACUGACGCUGAGGCACGAAAGCGUGGGUAUCGAACAGGAUUAGAUACCCGGGUAGUC